AGUAAUGUUUUUCUUACUUACUUAUUUAACAAAGCCUUUUCCCAUCAAGUGGGGUUGGCUAUAUGGAUAAAGACGUCAUUGCAUCGUGUUCAUGCUUUGAGAUGCGACCUUGUUUUACUUUGGCUGUCGUAGGCCUAACACAAACCGACAUGGCUUCAAGGACGUCAUUGCGUCGUGUCCAUGUAUUGGGAUGCGAUAUUGUUUUACGUUGGCAGUCACACACCGAACAACCCUCCUAUUUUUUCGGUUUGGGACCGGGCGAGUUCUUGUUGACACAGCUAAUCCUAUUAAUUUUUAAAAGCUUGUGAUAACUGAAUUUGUAGUCGGUCACAUACCAGGAAAAUUUCAUCUCCAGUGGCAUAUCUCCC
Arachis ipaensis is the source of this 368-nucleotide non-coding RNA. The record is from RefSeq and is a predicted model, not a curated record. Lineage: Eukaryota; Viridiplantae; Streptophyta; Magnoliopsida; Fabales; Fabaceae.